Molecule: small RNA, 510 nt
Filed under: Histoplasma capsulatum
Lineage: Eukaryota; Fungi; Ascomycota; Eurotiomycetes; Onygenales; Ajellomycetaceae
Also listed under: 1 other name
Description: hypothetical RNA
Source: RNAcentral
GCGAUUUCCGGCUAGGAAGCCUUUUCUGUCAGAUUCCUCAACCCCUAAGCGAUCCCAUAAUGAUUCAACCGCAGUUCGCAAUUCGUUGAUUUUUCGUUCGCGUCCGCGCUUUUCGUCGAUUAAUUUAUCUCGCUUUUCACGAAGUGAGGAAAGAUCUGAUUCGUGCAAUCCUAACUGCUCAGGCGAUUCGCGAUAAUGCUUAACAAUUGGGGAGUCAGUCUGUGCUUGCGGAGUACCUAGCUCCGCCCAGAGUUUUACUAUUUCUUCCGAAAUAUUCUGCACUACUUGGACACGACGUGUAUAUUCUUCAUAAACCCGAGUGAAUUCUUUGUCCAGGGCUGAUGCGUAUGAUGGCGAGAGGUCAAAGGUGGGUGGGAUGGCAGACCCGUCGGUGGUUGGAGGUAAUGGGACCUUCACAAAUGAUGGCUCAAGGUGAGAGGAAUAAGACUCGAGGGCUUGGACGAGCUCUAAACAAGGACAAAAUAUCAGUUACUCUUUCAUCAGACUGCG